CGAUACUUUCCAGCUUGCUGGAGAGGAAAGUGGCGCACGGGUGCGUAACGCGUAUGCAACCUACCUUCAUCAGGGGGAUAGCCCGGAGAAAUCCGGAUUAAUACCGCAUAAAAUCACAGGAUGGCAUUAUCCAAUGAUCAAACAUUUAUGGGAUGGAGAUGGGCAUGCGUGUCAUUAGCUAGUUGGCGGGGUAACGGCCCACCAAGGCGACGAUGACUAGGGGAUCUGAGAGGAUGGCCCCCCACACUGGUACUGAGACACGGACCAGACUCCUACGGGAGGCAGCAGUAAGGAAUAUUGGUCAAUGGAGGCAACUCUGAACCAGCCAUGCCGCGUGCAGGAAGACUGCCCUAUGGGUUGUAAACUGCUUUUAUCCGGGAAUAAACCUAAAUACGUGUAUUUAGCUGAAUGUACCGGAAGAAUAAGGAUCGGCUAACUCCGUGCCAGCAGCCGCGGUAAUACGGAGGAUCCAAGCGUUAUCCGGAUUUAUUGGGUUUAAAGGGUGCGUAGGCGGCCUGUUAAGUCAGGGGUGAAAGACGGUAGCUCAACUAUCGCAGUGCCCUUGAUACUGAUGGGCUUGAAUGGACUAGAGGUAGGCGGAAUGAGACAAGUAGCGGUGAAAUGCAUAGAUAUGUCUCAGAACACCGAUUGCGAAGGCAGCUUACUAUGGUCUUAUUGACGCUGAGGCACGAAAGCGUGGGGAUCAAACAGGAUUAGAUACCCUGGUAGUCCACGCCCUAAACGAUGAACACUCGCUGUUGGCGAUACACAGUCAGCGGCUAAGCGAAAGCGUUAAGUGUUCCACCUGGGGAGUACGCCCGCAAGGGUGAAACUCAAAGGAAUUGACGGGGGCCC
This 855-nucleotide ribosomal RNA is filed under the name Pedobacter suwonensis. RNAcentral describes it as "bacterial SSU rRNA". It matches the Rfam family "Bacterial small subunit ribosomal RNA", at positions 67 to 922 of the family's 1533-position model. The record is from RNAcentral. Lineage: Bacteria; Pseudomonadati; Bacteroidota; Sphingobacteriia; Sphingobacteriales; Sphingobacteriaceae.